Cryptomeria japonica (Japanese cedar) is the source of this 1039-nucleotide long non-coding RNA. RefSeq lists it as uncharacterized. The record is from RefSeq and is a predicted model, not a curated record. Lineage: Eukaryota; Viridiplantae; Streptophyta; Pinopsida; Cupressales; Cupressaceae. The transcript has 2 exons.
CUUAACUCUGUGGACAUUAAAAUUAUCUUCGCCUCCUUCACAACACAGCAAAUUACCAGCAUAUGAGAGGCACUUUUUACCCAAAAAACAAUCAAUUAUUAGAAUUUAAAGGCAAUUAUUAUUUUUAUAGAGUGCAUCGAACAUGCUGAAAACACAAGGGAUGAGAAGACAAAAAUACGGUCGGCAAAUGUCUUGUGAGUGGCGAUUUCGUUUUGUGGGCAUCAAGAGUAUGUACCCCCCAAAGCUGCAUCUUGGGCAUUCAAAAUUAUUUAUCGCACCAAGACAGCGAAGGACCUGACAGCAAUGCCACUGCCAACUCAUGCUCAGACGCAUGACAAAUGAAAAAGACAAAGGGUAAAAAACUAUGCGUACUAAAUUACAUAUAUAGAAUCCCAAGAAGAGACGUGGAAUGAGAUGGAUUGAUGAGUUUUAAAUGCUUGGUUUAGCCUGUCCUUACUUAAGCCUUUCCCACCAGGGGACUAUGCGGGCGAGCAGAGCCUUUCGCAUUUCCAAUGCUAAAUUAUUACAGAGGCUCGAGUCCCCAGGCAGAGGAGCAAGCCCGCUUGCCCUACAAACACAUUCCAUGUCUGUUUUCUCUGACAUGUGAUAAUCUCUGGUGCUGGAUGAGCAUGUUGGAGAUGGAGAAAAGAUUAUACCACUUUUGAGCCCGUACGAUAUAUUUGUGAGCAUUACAGAGGAGGUGGUGUAGAUUUGAAUCUUAUCUAUAUGUGCUGGUGGAAACCAGUGGGCAAGUUAAUAUAUGGCUAAUCUGAUUCGAGUUAGAUAAAUGUAAGGGAGAUGAACUAAGAGUAGUUGUAAGGGUUUUUGGAAACUAUAGUAGUGUUUUUGGUUUGAAUAAAAAGUGGGCUCUUUUUUUCAUGGAGAAGAGUAAAUAUUCUGUUUCUGAUGGUUGAGGGUAAAAGUCUAUUGUACUCUUCUUUAUUGAGUAAUAGAGGGUUCUGGUAUUAUUUGAACCGAACUUGGUAUGUUAUUUUGGUCUUGAAUCAAUAUAUUUAACAAGAUCCGAUGGUUUUUUUAA